RNAcentral lists this ribosomal RNA (442 nucleotides) under uncultured bacterium. Its description in RNAcentral is "partial 16S ribosomal RNA". It matches the Rfam family "Bacterial small subunit ribosomal RNA", at positions 338 to 795 of the family's 1533-position model. The record is from RNAcentral.
CCUACGGGAGGUAGCAGUGGGGAAUAUUGGGCAAUGGACGCAAGUCUGACGCAGCAACGCCGCGUGAAGGAAGAAGGCCUUCGGGUUGUAAACUUCUAUCAACGGGGAAGAGCAGAAGACGUUACCCCUUGCAUAAGCCACGGCUACCUACGUGCCACCAGCCGCGGUAAUACGUAGGGGGCAAGCGUUAUCCGGAUAUAUUGGGUGUAAAGGGAGCGUAGACGGCAGCACAAGUCAGGAGUGAAAUGCCGGGGCAUAACCCCGGAACUGCUUUGGAAACUGUGCAGCUAGAGUGCAGGAGGGGUAAGUGGAAUUCCUGGUGUAGCGGUGAAAUGCGUAGAUAUUAGGAGGAACACCAGUGGCGAAGGCGGCUUGCUGGACUGUAACUGACGUUGAGGCUCGAAAGCGUGGGGAGCGAACAGGAUUAGAUACCCGAGUAGUC